This 292-nucleotide ribosomal RNA is filed under the name uncultured bacterium. RNAcentral's name for it is "partial 16S ribosomal RNA". It matches the Rfam family "Bacterial small subunit ribosomal RNA", at positions 505 to 796 of the family's 1533-position model. The record is from RNAcentral.
GUGCCAGCAGCCGCGGUAAGACGGAGGGUGCAAACGUUGUUCGGAAUCACUGGGCGUAAAGGGCGCGUAGGCGGACAUGUAAGUCGGGAGUGAAAUCUCGGGGCUCAACCCCGAGCCUGCUUCCGAAACUGCACGUCUUGAGGACUGGAGAGGAAAGUGGAAUUCCCGGUGUAGCGGUGGAAUGCGUAGAUAUCGGGAGGAACAUCGGUGGCGAAGGCGACUUUCUGGACAGUUCCUGACGCUGAGGCGCGAAAGCUAGGGGAGCAAACAGGAUUAGAAACCCUGGUAGUCC